Long non-coding RNA from Girardinichthys multiradiatus, 633 nucleotides. RefSeq lists it as uncharacterized. The record is from RefSeq and is a predicted model, not a curated record. Lineage: Eukaryota; Metazoa; Chordata; Actinopteri; Cyprinodontiformes; Goodeidae. The transcript is spliced from 3 exons.
UGACAAGCUGUUUCCUCAACCCAGCGGUACUGGAGGAAAUGGGAAGAAACUUCAAAAUAAAAGUACAGAUGACGAUUUUCAUCCUGCCAGAGCCUAGUGGUCCUGUUUGACCCAGAUCUGAAGGAAAAGCUGCCAAGGUCCAAAUACUUUUUUAGGAGGCCGAGGUCUGUUGGGGGGGUUCCGGGUCAGGACUGAGCACAGCUGGUAGCUUCUCUUUACAGCAUAAAGCUUUGCUUCACAGAACGCAUCUGAUUUACUCAGAACAAUUUGCCAAGCUCAGGAAGAUGAUGGACAUGGACAGUCCAGAUGUCUUCUGGAGAAAAGGUUGAUGACAAGACAAAGAUGGAGCUGUUUGGACCCAAUGGUGAUAAGAAUGUCUGAAGGAGUCAAGCUGAGGCCCGGUGGUGGUCCUGGUGACGGUGUCUUCCUCCUUUGUGUGCCGUGAUUCCUGAGUUUGGGUUGUCUCACUGUGUCUGGUGCCUUUUAAUAAGGAUUAUUUAGGUUUUUCUGCGUUUAGUGGACCCAGUCCCUCAGUACUGGGUCCUGCGACUGGUAACCUCAGCUCCUGUGGGUUUUUGAUUUUAUUUUUUAUCUGUGAUAACAAGUGUUUUUAAAUCCGGUUUUAAUAAAUUG